UACGAACUGUGCGAACGUUAUUCGGAAUCACUGGGCUUACAGGGUGCGUAGGCGGCUAUUCAGGUCAGGUGUGAAAGCCCCCGGCUCAACCGGGGAACUGCGCUUGAAACCGAGUGACUCGAGUCAGCUAGAGGUACACGGAACUUCCAGUGGAGCGGUGAAAUGUGUUGAUAUUGGAAGGAACACCGGAGGCGAAAGCGGUGUACUGGGGCUGGUCUGACGCUGAGGCACGAAAGCCAGGGGAGCGAACGGG
Molecule: ribosomal RNA, 253 nt
Filed under: uncultured bacterium
Lineage: Bacteria
Description: partial 16S ribosomal RNA
Rfam family: Bacterial small subunit ribosomal RNA
Source: RNAcentral